AUCAGCUGGUUCAGACCUAAUUGGUGGGUGGGGUACAAGUCAAGAUGGGUUAGAGCAGAGAGCUAUCAACACCAUCGCAAAAUAAUUGUGGCAAAACAUAAUGGCAUUGGUUACAUGUGCAUAUCUAAUAUCUGAAUGCUCCAGGCAGCACGGUUAGGGCCUCAAUACCCAAGUGGAAAGUCACUAAUACCACCAUAAAUUUGCUUCCAUCAGGUGCUCCUCGCAAGAUUUUUGACAGAGAAGUACAAAGAAUAAUCACGAAGGUUGUCCAGGAGUCAAGGACCACCUUUGGAGCACUUCAAAAAGACCUGGAAUUAACAGGGUUGCGGGUGUGGUGGAACAUAUCCCAGUUAUCUUCGAGCGAGAGUUUCAGGACACUGUGAGGGCGAUUUCACAACAGAAGAGAAUUGUUGAAGCCAUUUUUCGUACCAUUGACCCCUAAGUAAUGCCAUGCCAAGUGGUCCUUGCAAGAUUUCUGACAGAGAGCAAAAAAUAAUUAUGUUUGUCUAGCCAAGGACCACUUGUAGAGACCUUCGAAAAGACCUGGAAUUAGCAGUCAGUUCUCACCCCAAGAAAUUGAAACACAUUACUUAUCAUGGAUGCUAAACCCAAUCUCGCAGAAGAUUUUGAAAAGUUGGAUUGUAGAUGUGAAGACUCACCUUGCAAAACUGAUUUGAAGAGCCCCAAUGUACCCGUAUUGUACAGCUGCAUUGCCGGUGAAACAGAGGCCCAAGAACAGAACAUGCAAAACUCUAAUCAUGAGGAAGUCCAAGCAAGAUUGAUGACUGACUUGAGUUGUGUGGAGAAACAGCAACCACAACUACUGUCCGUUUUGCUCUCAUCUGGCACUAAAGAGUCAAUCACAUCUGCCAAAAAGAGUCAAGAACUGAACACUAACACUUUCAUUAUCCCACCAGGUGAAGAUGACCUCUGCACUCCAAUCCUGUUGGGCUGUCUGUUCUGCCAUCCACUGGAUUGUUUACUGGCUACAGUCAGAGGAUGUUCCAAGUGCCUGUGCUCUUCACUGUUCUGCUGCGAGCCAGCUACCACGCAGAGUCUCCUUAAUAUCACUCAACAUUGUAAUGUAUGCAGAUGUCAAGAACUGUGCGACUCCCAAUGUGAUUGCAGUAUCUGUGGUUUGUGUCUCCAAGCUACAGAAUGCCUGGAUCUUGCCAUGGAAAUCUCUCAAAUGCUCUACCACUAAUCUUAGCAGCAAGCAGAUAAUCACACUUAAACACCUGAAAGAAUAGUUUAUUCAAAUUUGCUGAAAGACACUCCACUGAGCAUGACCAAAAACAUACAUUUGACACAGUGACUCACAAAUAAGAUAAGCAGUUUGUGAAAAGUUGGACGUUCUUCAAAUUUUGGAAAGCAGUUAUGUGGGAGGAAAGAAAAAAAACUUUUGUUGCUUGAUUUUAGUAUUACUCAAUAAGUGGCACUAAACUAGCUAAUUUUAGCUUAAAAACAGUGCCUGAGAGUACAUGCAGGAGAAGAAAAAUCACAGUGUCAAAACUAACUGGGCUCUUUCAGUUCACAUGUUACUGUAAAACUGACAAAAUUGCUAAUCCAGGCACAAGACUUUAAAAGAUGUUCUGACACAAACUCAAAAACCACAUAAAUGUUAGGAUAAAGAUGCACAGGCAAAUUCACAUUCAAUAAUUUAAAGUCGGAUAAUGCAUUUAAUGAGUUAAUGAGUUAAAUGCCUUUAUUUUUUUUGUUUAGUUUAGUCUUUAUUUUUAGUUUAUUGAUACUUCAUAGUAUAUCUGCAAAUAGUGGUUUGUUCAAAACAAAAAAUAAUUCAAAUGGGAAUGCAUUGCAUUUAUAGAUCAUUUGAUACCCACACCUCCAGAAGAAAAAAAAAUGAAAUCAGGUAAAAUCAGCCAGUGAUCAUCAAGGUUAAUUGAGACUAAAAAUCACAAACAAUUAUUAAUUACAAGAAACAAACUACACCUCAAUUACUCUGGUAUAAAAAAUAUGAACUACAGUACUACUGUAAAAAUAAACUGAUCUUUAUGUUAUGCUGUGAAGCAGAAUAUAUUGGAAAAUAGAACAGUGAUUUGUAAUUUGCACUAUAGCUACACUUUAAGAAGUCCUGCUUUGGCUAACAGCAGCAGCAGCAGGUUUCAAGCUCGUAAAAAUACUGCAUGUCACAGUAGGAAAAACAUCUCUCAUAAAAUGCAUAGACUGCAAUAACAUAAGGUGCAAUAAAUUGCUGGAAAAUAAAAUAUUCUUACUUUGUAUACAUCAUGAGGGCAAG
RNA transcript from Syngnathoides biaculeatus (alligator pipefish), 2257 nucleotides. RefSeq lists it as uncharacterized. Lineage: Eukaryota; Metazoa; Chordata; Actinopteri; Syngnathiformes; Syngnathidae. The record is from RefSeq and is a predicted model, not a curated record. The transcript is spliced from 7 exons.